This 453-nucleotide ribosomal RNA is filed under the name uncultured Bacteroidota bacterium. Its description in RNAcentral is "bacterial SSU rRNA". It matches the Rfam family "Bacterial small subunit ribosomal RNA", at positions 936 to 1390 of the family's 1533-position model. Lineage: Bacteria; Pseudomonadati; Bacteroidota. The record is from RNAcentral.
AGCAUGUGGUUUAAUUCGAUGAUACGCGAGGAACCUUACCUGGGCUUGAAAGUUAGUGACCGCUCCUGAAAGGGAGCUUUCCUUCGGGACACGAAACUAGGUGCUGCAUGGCUGUCGUCAGCUCGUGCCGUGAGGUGUCGGAUUAAGUUCCAUAACGAGCGCAACCCCUAUCUUUAGUUGCCAGCGAGUAAUGUCGGGGACUCUAAAGAAACUGCCCGUGUAAGCGGUGAGGAAGGUGGGGAUGACGUCAAGUCAUCACGCCCCUUACGUCCAGGGCGACACACGUGCUACAAUGGUAGGGACAGUGAGUUGCAAGCCAGCAAUGGUGAGCUAAUCUAUAAACCCUAUCUCAGUUCGGAUCUAGGUCUGCAACCCGACCUCGUGAAGCUGGAAUCGCUAGUAAUCGGAUAUCAGCCAUGAUCCGGUGAAUACGUUCCCGGGCCUUGUACACAC